GAUGAACGCUGACAGAAUGCUUAACACAUGCAAGUCUACUUGAACUUCGGUUUGGGUGGCGGACGGGUGAGUAACGCGUAAAGAACUUGCCUCACAGUUAGGGACAACAUUUGGAAACGAAUGCUAAUACCUGAUAUUAUGAUUUUAGGGCAUCCUAGGAUUAUGAAAGCUAUAUGUGCUGUGAGAGAGCUUUGCGUCCCAUUAGCUAGUUGGAGAGGUAACGGCUCACCAAGGCGAUGAUGGGUAGCCGGCCUGAGAGGGUGAACGGCCACAAGGGGACUGAGACACGGCCCUUACUCCUACGGGAGGCAGCAGUGGGGAAUAUUGGACAAUGGACCAAAAGUCUGAUCCAGCAAUUCUGUGUGCACGAUGACGUUUUUCGGAAUGUAAAGUGCUUUCAGUUGGGAAGAAAAAAAUGACGGUACCAACAGAAGAAGUGGCGGCUAAAUACGUG
This 454-nucleotide ribosomal RNA is filed under the name uncultured bacterium. RNAcentral's name for it is "partial 16S ribosomal RNA". It matches the Rfam family "Bacterial small subunit ribosomal RNA", at positions 28 to 507 of the family's 1533-position model. The record is from RNAcentral.